UACGUAGGUGGCAAGCGUUGUCCGGAUUUACUGGGCGUAAAGAGCGCGCAGGCGGUCGGAUAAGUCGAAUGUGAAAGCCCCCGGCUCAACUGGGGAGGGUCAUUCGAUACUGUUCGACUCGAAGGCAGGAGAGGGAAGUGGAAUUCCCGGUGUAGUGGUGAAAUUCGUAGAUAUUCGGAAGAACACCAGUGGCGAAGGCGACUUACUGGACACAUAUUGACGCUGAGGUGCGAAAGCGUGGGGAGCAAACAGG
Molecule: ribosomal RNA, 253 nt
Filed under: uncultured bacterium
Lineage: Bacteria
Description: partial 16S ribosomal RNA
Rfam family: Bacterial small subunit ribosomal RNA
Source: RNAcentral